Molecule: ribosomal RNA, 465 nt
Filed under: uncultured bacterium
Lineage: Bacteria
Description: bacterial SSU rRNA
Rfam family: Bacterial small subunit ribosomal RNA
Source: RNAcentral
GAUUAACGCUGGCGGCGUGCAUAACACAUUCAAGUCGAACGGUGACGGGAACUUCGGUUCCCUGAUCAGUGGCGGACGGGUGAGUAACGCGUGAGCAAUCUGCCUCUGUGUGCGGGAUAACAACCGGAAACAGUUGCUAAUACCGCAUGAUGUAUUUGAGUCGCAUGUCUUAAAUACCAAAGGCUUGCUGCACAGAGAUGAGCUCGCGUCUGAUUAGGUAGUUGGUGAGGUAACGGCUCACCAAGCCGACGAUCAGUAGCCGGACUGAGAGGUUGAACGGCCACAUUGGAACUGAGACACGGCCCAGACUCCUACGGGAGGCAGCAGUGGGGAAUAUUGGGCAAUGGGCGCAAGCCUGACCCAGCAACGCCGCGUGAAGGAAGAAGGCUUUCGGGUUGUAAACUUCUUUUAUAAGGGACGAAACAAAUGACGGUACCUUAUGAAUAAGCCACGGCUAACUACGUG